RNAcentral lists this ribosomal RNA (991 nucleotides) under uncultured Pseudomonas sp. RNAcentral describes it as "bacterial SSU rRNA". It matches the Rfam family "Bacterial small subunit ribosomal RNA", at positions 54 to 1041 of the family's 1533-position model. Lineage: Bacteria; Pseudomonadati; Pseudomonadota; Gammaproteobacteria; Pseudomonadales; Pseudomonadaceae. The record is from RNAcentral.
CAUGCAAGUCGAGCGGAUGAAGGGAGCUUGCUCCUGGAUUCAGCGGCGGACGGGUGAGUAAUGCCUAGGAAUCUGCCUGGUAGUGGGGGAUAACGUCCGGAAACGGGCGCUAAUACCGCAUACGUCCUGAGGGAGAAAGUGGGGGAUCUUCGGACCUCACGCUAUCAGAUGAGCCUAGGUCGGAUUAGCUAGUUGGUGGGGUAAAGGCCUACCAAGGCGACGAUCCGUAACUGGUCUGAGAGGAUGAUCAGUCACACUGGAACUGAGACACGGUCCAGACUCCUACGGGAGGCAGCAGUGGGGAAUAUUGGACAAUGGGCGAAAGCCUGAUCCAGCCAUGCCGCGUGUGUGAAGAAGGUCUUCGGAUUGUAAAGCACUUUAAGUUGGGAGGAAGGGCAGUAAGUUAAUACCUUGCUGUUUUGACGUUACCAACAGAAUAAGCACCGGCUAACUUCGUGCCAGCAGCCGCGGUAAUACGAAGGGUGCAAGCGUUAAUCGGAAUUACUGGGCGUAAAGCGCGCGUAGGUGGUUCAGCAAGUUGGAUGUGAAAUCCCCGGGCUCAACCUGGGAACUGCAUCCAAAACUACUGAGCUAGAGUACGGUAGAGGGUGGUGGAAUUUCCUGUGUAGCGGUGAAAUGCGUAGAUAUAGGAAGGAACACCAGUGGCGAAGGCGACCCCUGGACUGAUACUGACACUGAGGUGCGAAAGCGUGGGGAGCAAACAGGUUAGAUACCCUGGUAGUCCACGCCGUAAACGAUGUCGACUAGCCGUUGGGAUCCUUGAGAUCUUAGUGGCGCAGCUAACGCGAUAAGUCGACCGCCUGGGGGAGUACGGCCGCAAGGUUAAAACUCAAAUGAAUUGACGGGGGCCCGCACAAGCGGUGGAGCAUGUGGUUUAAUUCGAAGCAACGCGAAGAACCUUACCUGGCCUUGACAUGCUGAGAACUUUCCAAAGAUGGAUUGGUGCCUUCGGGAACUCAGACACAGGUGC